RNAcentral lists this long non-coding RNA (693 nucleotides) under Sus scrofa (pig). RNAcentral describes it as "lncRNA (ENSSSCG00070023074.1)". The record is from RNAcentral. Lineage: Eukaryota; Metazoa; Chordata; Mammalia; Artiodactyla; Suidae.
GUCUUUGCAAUCCGUCACACUUCUUCCUUCAAACCUUCAUACCAACACUUUUGCCAUUUCACCUCCUAGUUGAAUGUUUAUGUUCGGAUGGUUUCACAGUUUAAGUUAAAGCUUAGUUUGGUUUCUAAAAGAAGAGGAAAUGGAAAUGCAGUUGAAACAAGUCCAGUAUUUUUUUAAACCACAUUUUAUGUUAUGUUUUUAGUGUUUACAGCAUAGUGUGAUGGGACAAGCCUGGUUAUAUAUCAGAUCAGUCUGAGUUUAUAUCACAGCUUUGCCACAUACUGUGUGACCGUGGGAAAGUUGCAUAAUCACUCUGGGCGUUGCUUUCCUCCUCUGUAAAAUAAGGACAAUAAACCUCCCAAUCAGGGUGAUUGGAGAACAAGAGGGCAUGGUUCGCCAGGCUUUGGCAGAUUGAUUUACAUUCAUCACCUGGCUCCUGCUCCAAAUGCAGUAAGUUUUACAUGCAUAUGUUUCCAUAAUUGUAUUUGCCAUUUAUGUUGUCAUUCAGAUAUAACUUCUUUUUUUGUCUUUUUUUUUUUUUUUUUUUUUUGUCUUUUUUGUCUUUUUAGGGCCGCACCCCAGGCGGAGUGCGGAAACCCAUGUGGAGUUUCCCAGGCCGUAGGUCGAAUCGGAGCUGUAGCUGGUGGCCUACGACAGAGCCACAGCAACACCAGAUCUGAGCCACGUCUGUGA